Molecule: long non-coding RNA, 855 nt
Filed under: Lactuca sativa (garden lettuce)
Lineage: Eukaryota; Viridiplantae; Streptophyta; Magnoliopsida; Asterales; Asteraceae
Description: long non-coding RNA (LSAT_LNC005720)
Source: RNAcentral
UCCAAUUCAUGAAAAUGAUUGUGAGGAAACGCUUUCACUAAGUAGAUUUUAAGGAGAUAACAAUUGUGUUAUUUUCAUUCUCAAAUUCAAUUAUUAGUACGACAUCCCUCUUCAUAGUUCGAAUUGUGAGAAAUGGCAAAGGGUCUAAACAUUUGAGACUUAUUUCUAUAAGUUCUAAAAUUGUUAAGACACACAUGUAAGCUAUCUAAGGAAAGGUGUAUGAUUUUGAGAAGCCUGGAUAAAGUCUUAUCAAAGCAUCUCGUAUCAGAAAUUUGAACUUUGGUAAUGAAAGUCAAUAAGUAUUGACUUCUAGAAGUCCAUCUGAUUUCCNUCAGAAAUUUGAACUUUGGUAAUGAAAGUCAAUAAGUAUUGAUUUCUAGAAGUCCAUCUGAUUUCCAGGUACAUGUCAAAGCUAGUGGGAGCAUAAGUUUUAUGCUAGUAAGAUGAUAAUUAUUAUGCUAGUGGGAGCAUAAUUAUUAUGGUAAGUUAGCAAUGUUAAUUAUAGAAAACAAAAGGUUUCAAUUCGCAAAGUUGUGGAUUUGAAAAGUUGUUUUGCUAUAAUUAAGGGAGAGGAAUUCAUACUUCAUUUCAAUUCUAAAAGCUUAGAUUGAGGUUUUAAUCAAAUUCAGUCAAAUAUAUAUGAAUUUUAUGUUGGAAUGGUUCAACAUAAGUAAAUUCUAUAUAUGGAAAUGUUAAUUGCGUUCUCAAAAUUUGAUUAUGAUUAUGGAAUCCCUCUUCAUAAUCAAAAUUAUGAGAACAUGGCAAAUAGAAAUAUUAUAGCGAAAGACUGAUCAAGUAUCAUGUCUUUAUGUUAGCCAUUAUGAAUCAUGUCCCAUACGCUUCGAGUAUAGGAUC